GGAGUCUGGGCCGUGUCUCAGUCCCAAUGUGGCCGUUCAACCUCUCAGUCCGGCUACUGAUCGUCGACUUGGUGGGCCGUUACCUCACCAACUAUCUAAUCAGACGCGAGCCCAUCUUUCAGCGAUAAAUCUUUGGUCAUCAGACGAUGCCAUCCGUUGACGUUAUGCGGUAUUAGCAGUCGUUUCCAACUGUUGUCCCCCUCUGAAAGGCAGGUUGCUCACGUGUUACUCACCCGUCCGCCACUAACUUUGAGAGCAAGCUCUCAAAGUCCGUUCGACUUGCAUGUGUUAGGCGCGCCGCCAGCGUUCGUCCUGAGCCAUGAUCAAACUACU
Molecule: ribosomal RNA, 333 nt
Filed under: uncultured Oscillospiraceae bacterium
Lineage: Bacteria; Bacillati; Bacillota; Clostridia; Eubacteriales; Oscillospiraceae
Description: partial 16S ribosomal RNA
Source: RNAcentral